AUCGCUUCUUGGCCUUUUGGCUAAGAUCAAGUGUAGUAUCCUGGAACAGAUCCUAAAACAUAAAAUCAACCUAUCUUUG
Molecule: small nuclear RNA, 79 nt
Filed under: Sorex araneus (European shrew)
Lineage: Eukaryota; Metazoa; Chordata; Mammalia; Eulipotyphla; Soricidae
Description: U2 spliceosomal RNA (ENSSARG00000019576.1)
Rfam family: U2 spliceosomal RNA
About the family: U2 is a small nuclear RNA (snRNA) component of the spliceosome (involved in pre-mRNA splicing).
Source: RNAcentral